AUACGUAGAUGGCAAGCGUUAUCCGGAUUGACUGGGCUUAAAGGGUGCGUAGGCGGAUUAUUAAGUCAGAGGUGAAAUCCUGCGGCUUAACUGCAGAACUGCCAUUGAUACUGGUAGCCUUGAGUUUGGUUAAGGUAAGUGGAAUUCCUAAUGUAGCGGUGAAAUGCGUAGAUAUUAGGAGGAACACCAAUUGCGUAGGCGGCUUACUGGGCUGUAACUGACGCUGAGGCACGAAAGCGUGGGGAUCGAACAGGAUUAGAUACCCUGGUAGUCCACGCUGUAAACGAUGAAUGCUAGGUGUGGGGUGUAAAAUCUCCGUGGCGCAGUUAACACAAUAAGCAUUCCGCCUGGGGAGUACGGCCGCAAGGUUGA
RNAcentral lists this ribosomal RNA (372 nucleotides) under uncultured bacterium. RNAcentral describes it as "bacterial SSU rRNA". It matches the Rfam family "Bacterial small subunit ribosomal RNA", at positions 523 to 897 of the family's 1533-position model. The record is from RNAcentral.